Molecule: ribosomal RNA, 253 nt
Filed under: uncultured bacterium
Lineage: Bacteria
Description: partial 16S ribosomal RNA
Rfam family: Bacterial small subunit ribosomal RNA
Source: RNAcentral
UACGUAGGGUGCGAGCGUUGUCCGGAAUUACUGGGCGUAAAGAGCUCGUAGGUGGUUUGUCGCGUUGUUCGUGAAAACCGGGGGCUUAACCCUCGGCGUGCGGGCGAUACGGGCAGACUUGAGUACUGCAGGGGAGACUGGAAUUCCUGGUGUAGCGGUGGAAUGCGCAGAUAUCAGGAGGAACACCGGUGGCGAAGGCGGGUCUCUGGGUAGUAACUGACGCUGAGGAGCGAAAGCGUGGGGAGCGAACAGG